AGAUCCCAUUCUCUCGCUCAUGGAACGGUUCAAGGCUGACCCUCGGCCGGAAAAGGUCAAUCUGAGCAUCGGCCUU
RNAcentral lists this transfer RNA (76 nucleotides) under Pararhodospirillum photometricum DSM 122. RNAcentral's name for it is "tRNA-Glu". Lineage: Bacteria; Pseudomonadati; Pseudomonadota; Alphaproteobacteria; Rhodospirillales; Rhodospirillaceae. The record is from RNAcentral.